UUGCCAGCCCGCUCAGAAACUCAAAGGAAUUGACGGGGCCCGCACAAGCGAGGAGCAUGUGGUUAAUUCGAUGAUACGCGAGGAACCUUACCUGGGCUCGAACGUAAGAUGACUGUAGGUGAAAGCUUACAUCUCUUCGGAGCAUUUUACGAGGUGCUGCAUGGUUGUCGUCAGCUCGUGCCGUGAGGUGUCGGGUUAAGUCCCAUAACGAGCGCAACCCCUACCUUUAGUUGCCAUCAGGUUAAGCUGGGGACUCUAAAGGAACUGCCUACGCAAGUAGUGAGGAAGGCGGGGAUGACGUCAAAUCAGCACGGCCCUUACGUCCAGGGCUACACACGUGCUACAAUGGCCGAUACAGAGGGCAGCUACCUGGUGACAGGAUGCAAAUCUCCAAAGUCGGUCUCAGUUCGGAUCGGAGUCUGCAACCCGACUCCGUGAAGUUGGAUUCGCUAGUAAUCGCGCAUCAGCCAUGGCGCGGUGAAUACGUUCCCGGGCCUU
This 498-nucleotide ribosomal RNA is filed under the name uncultured Sphingobacteriales bacterium. Its description in RNAcentral is "bacterial SSU rRNA". It matches the Rfam family "Bacterial small subunit ribosomal RNA", at positions 880 to 1382 of the family's 1533-position model. Lineage: Bacteria; Pseudomonadati; Bacteroidota; Sphingobacteriia; Sphingobacteriales. The record is from RNAcentral.